GGCGCGGCACCGCGCAAAAGACACCGUGAACCGUGUCAGGCGGGGAACCGAGCAGCACUAAGCGGCAGUCUUUGUGCAGCGGUAAACCGCGCCGUU
This 96-nucleotide signal recognition particle RNA is filed under the name Oscillospiraceae bacterium. Its description in RNAcentral is "signal recognition particle sRNA small type". It matches the Rfam family "Bacterial small signal recognition particle RNA". From Rfam's summary of the family: The signal recognition particle (SRP) is a universally conserved ribonucleoprotein involved in the co-translational targeting of proteins to membranes. Lineage: Bacteria; Bacillati; Bacillota; Clostridia; Eubacteriales; Oscillospiraceae. The record is from RNAcentral.